Molecule: ribosomal RNA, 440 nt
Filed under: uncultured bacterium
Lineage: Bacteria
Description: bacterial SSU rRNA
Rfam family: Bacterial small subunit ribosomal RNA
Source: RNAcentral
GUACGGGAGGCAGCAGUGGGGAAUAUUGGGCAAUGGGGGAAACCCUGACCCAGCAACGCCGCGUGAAGGACGAAGGCCUUCGGGUUGUAAACUUCUUUGAUCAGGGACGAAACGAAUGACGGUACCUGAAGAACAAGCCACGGCUAACUACGUGCCAGCAGCCGCGGUAAUACGUAGGUGGCGAGCGUUAUCCGGAUUUACUGGGUGUAAAGGGCGUGCAGGCGGGUCCGCCAGUCGGGUGUGAAAUUUCCGGGCUUAACCCGGGCAGGUCACCCGAAACUGCGGAUCUUGAGUACUGGAGAGGAUAGUGGAAUUCCCGGUGUAGCGGUAAAAUGCGUAGAUAUCGGGAGGAACACCAGUGGCGAAGGCGGCUAUCUGGACAGUAACUGACGCUGAGGCGCGAAAGCGUGGGGAGCAAACAGGAUUAGAUACCCGAGUAU